UAUCAUGAGGAUACCUGUUAAAAAUACCAAUUGCUGGAAUGAUACAGAGAAGAUUAGCAUGGCCCCUGCACAAAGAUGACAUGCAAAUUCAUGAAGCGUUCCAUAUUUUU
This is a small nuclear RNA of Callithrix jacchus (white-tufted-ear marmoset), 110 nucleotides long. NCBI's taxonomy places the organism in Eukaryota, Metazoa, Chordata, Mammalia, Primates, Cebidae. The record is from Ensembl.